Molecule: RNase P RNA, 335 nt
Filed under: Tissierellia bacterium
Lineage: Bacteria; Bacillati; Bacillota; Tissierellia
Description: RNase P RNA component class A
Rfam family: Bacterial RNase P class A
About the family: Ribonuclease P (RNase P) is a ubiquitous endoribonuclease, found in archaea, bacteria and eukarya as well as chloroplasts and mitochondria.
Source: RNAcentral
CGAGUACGUUGGUCGACUGCGCGUCAUGCGAGGAAAGUCCGUGCUCCACAGAGCAAAGGUGCUGGAUAACGUCCAGUAGGGGCGACCCUAAGGCUAGUGCAACAGAGAUAUACCGCCAAGUUGACUUGGUAAGGCUGGAAAGGCGAGGUAAGAGCUCACCAGCACAUAGGCGACUAUGUGGCUAUGUAAACCCCAUCUGGAGCAAGACCAAGAAGGAGCAAAAGGGUGGCUGCUCGUCACCUUCCAUAAGGUAGGUCGCUAAAGCUUUUUGGUGACAAAAAGAUUAGAUAGAUAGUCGAUGAAUACAGAACACGGCUUAUAGAUGUAGUCGGACU